Molecule: non-coding RNA, 1481 nt
Organism: Podarcis lilfordi (Lilford's wall lizard)
Lineage: Eukaryota; Metazoa; Chordata; Lepidosauria; Squamata; Lacertidae
Source: the annotation of a GenBank genome assembly
CAUUUUCCUUGGCAAAUCUCCACGAACUUUCUGGAAGGGAGUAGGAAAAACAACCUAGAAGUAGCUCAAUAAAUCCCACCAGUUUUGUCAUUGAGAGGUGGGAUUGAGGGCAAGAGGGAACCAGGAUCCCAUCAGUUUUAUUCCACAGCCCUGUUAUCACAUGUACCAUCUGAUUUGUUUUGUUUUGCAAGCGUAUAGAUAUUAAGUUUAAAGGUGAUAUUCUUCUCUUCACCAGGCAUAUUGGCAGAGUCAGCUAUAUCCUGAUGUGCAUUGUUUGAUUAGGGUAGUGUCAGGAAUAAGGCUGCAGAUAGACACAGCAGCAUCUUCAUCUAGAGAAAAUUGCUGUCAGAUGGUGGUGUUAGUCUUGUUUCUGCUUCUGCUGCCCCACAUGGUGUGCAAAGUAGAUACCCUGAAAUGUCCAACAAAUGACCCCCUUCCUGUUCCCCAUGAAUGGUAUGAGCCUGGAGACCUCCUCAUUGGCGCCAUCUCUUCUCAGAUCAUCUUCUUUUUCCCUGAAGUGUCCUUCAAACAACAUCCUUCUAAUGAUUUGGGCUUCGAUCUUCCAAGGUAAGAUACCUUCCAUCCCAUAUCAGGUAAGACAGAUUAGAAAUUGUAAGAAAUAGAAUCCGCAGAAGACACCUAUAAGCAAUAUGUCAACAUCAGACAUCUCUAUUCAGUUAUUUACAUUUCUUAAAUUUCGUCCUUCAGUCCCAAAUGGGGCAUUGUGGUGUUGGAGGACAAAUUGUCAUUCAUUAUCCAUGUCAAUGUGAUCCAUCAUUUUAAUUUAUUUUAUCCCCUCUCCCCCACCCACAUUUCUUCCAUCUUCCCCAUAACCAACCCUCUUUUUCUAUAGUUCUCAAGCAUUGUUGAGUUUGUUCUGCAAAUCCCCCCCCCCCCAAUGGUGGCAAGAACUUGAUGGUCUUGCAUGGCUGAAUUAGAUUGCUUUACAGAAAGCCUGAACAGAAAUGUAUUGUGACAAAACAAUUUCUUUUGCUUUAGAAUUCUCCACUGAAAGAAAAUGUAACUCUCAUUGCAGUGUAGUGACAAAGUCUUACCAGCAUGCCUUGGCCUUGGCAUUUGCUGUAAACGAGGUCAACAAGAACCCAAAAAUCUUGCCCAAUGUCACACUUGGGUUCCACAUCUGUGACAGCUACUAUGAUGCAAGGAUGACCUACCGCACCACUCUGGACCAGCUCUUCAAUUCACAUAGAUUUAUCCCCAACUACAAAUGUGGCACUCAGAAAAAACUCAUGGCUGUCAUUGGGGGAAUGAGCUCUGAUAUUUCUUUCCACGUGGCAGACAUCUUAACUCUCUACAAGAUUCCACAGGUAACAUCUGUUCAUGGAGAAGAUAUGCUCUCCUCUUGUCAUCCUGUUACUGCCUUUGUGGUUCAGGAAGAGGCUGAAAACGACUUGCAGAAAAACAAAGCCUUAUUGGAUAUUGAAAAAGCAAGACCCAACUUUUCCAAGAGUAGGACCCCU